RNAcentral lists this ribosomal RNA (846 nucleotides) under Salmonella enterica. Its description in RNAcentral is "partial 23S ribosomal RNA". It matches the Rfam family "Bacterial large subunit ribosomal RNA", at positions 711 to 1557 of the family's 2925-position model. RNAcentral also lists the same sequence under 3 other names. The record is from RNAcentral. Lineage: Bacteria; Pseudomonadati; Pseudomonadota; Gammaproteobacteria; Enterobacterales; Enterobacteriaceae.
AGACCCGAAACCCGGUGAUCUAGCCAUGGGCAGGUUGAAGGUUGGGUAACACUAACUGGAGGACCGAACCGACUAAUGUUGAAAAAUUAGCGGAUGACCUGUGGCUGGGGGUGAAAGGCCAAUCAAACCGGGAGAUAGCUGGUUCUCCCCGAAAGCUAUUUAGGUAGCGCCUCGUGAAUUCAUCUCCGGGGGUAGAGCACUGUUUCGGCUAGGGGGCCAUCCCGGCUUACCAACCCGAUGCAAACUGCGAAUACCGGAGAAUGUUAUCACGGGAGACACACGGCGGGUGCUAACGUCCGUCGUGAAGAGGGAAACAACCCAGACCGCCAGCUAAGGUCCCAAAGUCAUGGUUAAGUGGGAAACGAUGUGGGAAGGCCCAGACAGCCAGGAUGUUGGCUUAGAAGCAGCCAUCAUUUAAAGAAAGCGUAAUAGCUCACUGGUCGAGUCGGCCUGCGCGGAAGAUGUAACGGGGCUAAACCAUGCACCGAAGCUGCGGCAGCGACGCUGAUGCGUUGUUGGGUAGGGGAGCGUUCUGUAAGCCUGCGAAGGUGGCCUGUGAGGGUUGCUGGAGGUAUCAGAAGUGCGAAUGCUGACAUAAGUAACGAUAAAGCGGGUGAAAAGCCCGCUCGCCGGAAGACCAAGGGUUCCUGUCCAACGUUAAUCGGGGCAGGGUGAGUCGACCCCUAAGGCGAGGCCGAAAGGCGUAGUCGAUGGGAAACGGGUUAAUAUUCCCGUACUUGGUGUUACUGCGAAGGGGGGACGGAGAAGGCUAUGUUGGCCGGGCGACGGUUGUCCCGGUUUAAGCGUGUAGGUGUGUGUUCCAGGUAAAUCCGGUUCACUUUAACA